GCUGGAGGAUUAAGGAGUACAAGCGUUAUCAGACACCAGGAGGAAGGUCCUGUGAUCAGCAAGUUGAGACAGCAGCUGCUGCCAGCAAGCUCCCUCUGUCCUGAGCCCUGUGGUGUCACCCCCUGUGCUGUGGAGAUGGCCCAAUGGGAGAGAUCAACAGAGAGAAUUCCUGGGACCCUCUUCGGCGUGUCUGAUGGCCACAAGGCAACACCGUGCCCACAUCACGCAGCAGGCAUCAGACAACGCGGCUGCCGUAUUCACUACCAACUUAUGCAACCAACCGUGGGUCGUGUAUUUCAGCAGCUCCAACCCCAAGUGCUGCCCAGCCACCGAGGGGACACAGUAGCUCCCGGGGAGGGGAACGAAGAAGCCUAGGUGAGGGAGAAGGGAACUGUUUGGAC
This is a long non-coding RNA of Mauremys reevesii (Reeves's turtle), 401 nucleotides long. RefSeq lists it as uncharacterized. Lineage: Eukaryota; Metazoa; Chordata; Testudines; Geoemydidae. The record is from RefSeq and is a predicted model, not a curated record. The transcript has 3 exons.